Molecule: ribosomal RNA, 468 nt
Filed under: uncultured bacterium
Lineage: Bacteria
Description: partial 16S ribosomal RNA
Rfam family: Bacterial small subunit ribosomal RNA
Source: RNAcentral
GACGAACGCUGGCGGCGUGCUUAACACAUGCAAGUCGAACGGAAGGGCCCUGCUUUUGUGGGGUGCUCGAGUGGCGAACGGGUGAGUAACACGUGAGUAACCUGCCCUUGACUUUGGGAUAACUUCAGGAAACUGGGGCUAAUACCGGAUAGGAGCUCCUGCUGCAUGGUGGGGGUUGGAAAGUUUCGGCGGUUGGGGAUGGACUCGCGGCUUAUCAGCUUGUUGGUGGGGUAGUGGCUUACCAAGGCUUUGACGGGUAGCCGGCCUGAGAGGGUGACCGGCCACAUUGGGACUGAGAUACGGGCCAGACUCCUACGGGAGGCAGCAGUGGGGAAUAUUGCACAAUGGGCGGAAGCCUGAUGCAGCAACGCCGCGUGCGGGAUGACGGCCUUCGGGUUGUAAACCGCUUUCGCCUGUGACGAAGCGUGAGUGACGGUAAUGGGUAAAGAAGCACCGGCUAACUACGUG